Molecule: ribosomal RNA, 494 nt
Filed under: uncultured bacterium
Lineage: Bacteria
Description: bacterial SSU rRNA
Rfam family: Bacterial small subunit ribosomal RNA
Source: RNAcentral
AAAUGAAUAGACGGGGACCCGCACAAGCGGUGGAUUAUGUGGAUUAAUUCGAUGCAACGCGAAAAACCUUACCUACCCUUGACAUGUCCUGAAGCCUGGAGAGAUCCGGGUGUGCCCGAAAGGGAACGGGAACACAGGUGCUGCAUGGCUGUCGUCAGCUCGUGUCGUGAGAUGUUGGGUUAAGUCCCGCAACGAGCGCAACCCUUGCCAUUAGUUGCUACAUUCAGUUGGGCACUCUAAUGGGACUGCCGGUGACAAACCGGAGGAAGGUGGGGAUGACGUCAAGUCCUCAUGGCCCUUAUGGGUAGGGCUUCACACGUAAUACAAUGGUCGGUACAGAGGGUUGCCAAAGCGCGAGCUGGAGCCAAUCCCAGAAAGCCGAUCGUAGUCCGGAUUGCAGUCUGCAACUCGACUGCAUGAAGUCGGAAUCGCUAGUAAUCGCGGAUCAGCAUGUCGCGGUGAAUACGUUCCCGGGUCUUGUACACACCGCCCGU